UACAGAGGUCCCAAGCGUUGUUCGGAUUCAUUGGGCGUAAAGGGUGCGUAGGCGGCGCGGUAAGUCGGGUGUGAAAUCUCGGGGCUUAACUCCGAAACUGCAUUCGAUACUGCCGUGCUUGAGGACUGGAGAGGAGACUGGAAUUUACGGUGUAGCGGUGAAAUGCGUAGAUAUCGUAAGGAAGACCAGUGGCGAAGGCGGGUCUCUGGACAGUUCCUGACGCUGAGGCACGAAGGUCAGGGGAGCAAACGGG
This 253-nucleotide ribosomal RNA is filed under the name uncultured bacterium. RNAcentral's name for it is "partial 16S ribosomal RNA". It matches the Rfam family "Bacterial small subunit ribosomal RNA", at positions 524 to 776 of the family's 1533-position model. The record is from RNAcentral.